RNAcentral lists this ribosomal RNA (521 nucleotides) under uncultured bacterium. RNAcentral's name for it is "bacterial SSU rRNA". It matches the Rfam family "Bacterial small subunit ribosomal RNA", at positions 373 to 910 of the family's 1533-position model. The record is from RNAcentral.
GGGGGCAACCCUGAUCCAGCAAUGCCGCGUGUGUGAAGAAGGCCUUCGGGUUGUAAACCACUUUUGGCGGGGACGAUAAUGUCGAGUGCUAAUACCAUAAGCUCAUGACGGUACCUGCAGAAUAAGCACCGGCUAACUACGUGCCAGCAGCCGCGGUAAUACGUAGGGUGCAAGCGUUAAUCGGAAUUACUGGGCGUAAAGCGUGCGCAGGCGGUUGGAUAAGACUGAUGUUAAAUUCCCGGGCUCAACCUGGGAACUGCAUUAGUGACUGUUGGACUAGAGUGCGGCAGAGGGGAGUGGAAUUCCGCGUGUAGCAGUGAAAUGCGUAGAUAUGCGGAGGAACACCGAUGGCGAAGGCAACUCCCUGGGCCUGCACUGACGCUCAUGCACGAAAGCGUGGGGAGCAAACAGGAUUAGAUACCCUGGUAGUCCACGCCCUAAACGAUGUCAACUAGUUGUUGGACGGGUACGCCUUUACACCGCCUGGGAAGUACGGACGUUAGGCUCAAGGGCAAAAGAAU